ACCGAUAGUGAAGCAGUACCGUGAGGGAAAGGUGAAAAGAACCCCGGGAGGGGAGUGAAAUAGAACCUGAAACCGUGUGCCUACAACCGCUCAGAGCCCCUUAUGAGGGUGAUGAGGUGCUUUUUGUAGAACGAGCCAACGAGUUACGGUAUGUAGCAAGGUUAAGUACUUAAGGUACGGAGCCGAAGGGAAACCGAGUCUGAAUAGGGCGACUAGUUGCAUGCCGUAGACCCGAAACCGGGUGACCUAUCCAUGGCCAGGUUGAAGCGAGGGUAAAACCUCGUGGAGGACCGAACCACGUUGCUGUUGAAAAAGCAUGGGAUGAGCUGUGGAUAGCGGAGAAAUUCCAAUCGAACCCGGAGAUAGCUGGUUCUCUCCGAAAUAGCUUUAGGGCUAGCGUCGAGUAUGAGUAGUGGAGGUAGAGCACUGAAUGGGCUAGGGGGCAUAGCGCUUACCGAACCUUAUCAAACUCCGAAUGCCACAUACUUUGAGCUCGGCAGUCAGACUACGAAUGAUAAGAUCCGUGGUCAAAAGGGAAACAGCCCAGAUCGUCAGCUAAGGUCCCAAAGUGUAAGUUAAGUGGGAAAGGAUGUGAGAUUUCUAAGACAACUAGGAUGUUGGCUUAGAAGCAGCCAUUCAUUAAAAGAGUGCGUAAUAGCUCACUAGUCGAGAGAUCUUGCGCCGAAAAUGUAACGGGGCUAAACUUACCACCGAAGCUACGGGCUUGAACAUAGUUCAAGCGGUAGGAGAGCGUCGUAACCGGGCUGAAGUCGUACCGUAAGGAGCGGUGGACUGGUUACGAGUGAGAAUGUUGGCAUCAGUAGCGAGAUGUGGGUGAGAAUCCCACAGGCCGAAAACCUAAGGUUUCCUCAGGAAGGUUCGUCCGCUGAGGGUUAGUCGGGACCUAAGCCGAGGCCGAAAGGCGUAGGUGAUGGACAACUGGUUGAUAUUCCAGUACCACUACCAUCGUUAUUAUCGAUGGCGUGACGCAGGAGGAUAGUGUGUGCUAGCUAUUGGAUGCUAGUCUAAGCGUUUAGGCA
RNAcentral lists this ribosomal RNA (1040 nucleotides) under Clostridium perfringens. Its description in RNAcentral is "partial 23S ribosomal RNA". It matches the Rfam family "Bacterial large subunit ribosomal RNA", at positions 483 to 1526 of the family's 2925-position model. The record is from RNAcentral. Lineage: Bacteria; Bacillati; Bacillota; Clostridia; Eubacteriales; Clostridiaceae.